This is a long non-coding RNA of Peromyscus leucopus (white-footed mouse), 5785 nucleotides long. RefSeq lists it as uncharacterized. NCBI's taxonomy places the organism in Eukaryota, Metazoa, Chordata, Mammalia, Rodentia, Cricetidae. The transcript is spliced from 7 exons. The record is from RefSeq and is a predicted model, not a curated record.
ACAUUUUCUUCUUCCUUAAGACUCCCUAGAUGAGAACUAUGUGUUGAGAAUGACGAAAAUGUUCUUCCUCAUUGUUGUGAUGAAGGGAAGUUUGACUCUCCUGAGAUAUAGCUUGCCUGAACAUUACUGAGUCCUCAGAAGGAUGGCUAGAGAACAUCACUCUUAAUAGUUGGUUAGAGAGUUAUGGGAGCAUAUGAAGUUCAACUGUCAAAGAAUGAUUUAUGAAGACCUACUCCAGGAAUUUCUUCAGAUAAUGACUAAGAGCAAGAUAUAUCUGAAAGAAGACUCCUCAGACCAAAAUCUCUUCACCAUAUAUUAUACAAAAGCCAUACUCUGAAGAUGAUACCAGCUGUGAUAAGGUGGAAACAUAAUAGAUGGUGCCAUCUCUUCUACCAGCAGAUUCACCAAGACAGUCUUCACUAUACAUGCUGAUGCCUCUUUCCUGUGUAGCAGCAGACACCUCCUGCAGAUAAGAAAUGCUUAACUGAGAAAUGCUCAUGUUGGGAUAUCAUCGAUGAAACUUUAAUUUGGGCAUGGUGACUGUUUCCCUUGCUGCCACUUGACUCAAUCCCAGGAGCCUCAGUAGAGGAAAUAAUAUUGCACAAGAAGCUCAAAAUUGUGGAAAUAUUCAGUGCUCCUAUAAAUAUACACUGCUAAUUUUAAAAAUACGAGAUAUUAAAAAAGAACUGCAUGAUUUAAAAAAAAAACUCAAAGUAUACUUAUAUGAUACAAAAAUUAUGGGCCGUCUCUCUUUCAAGAGAAUUGAAAGUUUCCUAUAGUUUCCCCCCAUUAAGGAAGGGUUAUACAUGCUCUAAAGCAGAUAAAUAUAUGCAAAAAUGCACAUACUUUCUGGGGGAACUUCUAGCAGUGGGGCCAUAAUCUUAUGCAAAUUGCUACUUUUAUUUAAGAGUCUUUUUGAUGAGCUUUUCUAUUUCAGUACUACAUUAAUGUCUAUGUCAUUUUUUUGAAUGACUGCAUGACUGCUUUGUAGAUGAAAUAGAAUUAAAUGUUUUAAGCAUUGCCCAUUCAUAGACAUUUAUGUAGGUGCCAAAUUUCUGUGCAAUGAACUUCCAUAUAUAUAUAUAUAUAUAUAUAUAUAUAUAUAUAUGUUCAUAUAUAUGUAUAUUCACACAUACAUAUAUUAUCAAUAAUUCUGUAUUUGUCUCCUCUAUUACAGUAAAAUUACCUAGUACUUAAAUAUAUUAACACUUAAUUUUUUUAAAUUAUCACAAUUCCUUUUAAAUGUGCUCAAUAGCUUUCUCUUCAAUGGCAAUGCCUUAGAAUACCAUCCUCAUAAUCCACAUACAAUGGAUUUUACAAAUAUUUGAAAUCUCUUACAAUGUGUUAGUCCAACCUAUUGUCUUAAAUUGUAUUUAUUUUAUUUUUGAGUUUGAUCAUUUUCAUGUUUAUUAGCCAUCUGUAUUUUUUGAUUUCUUCUUUAUGUCAAAGUUUGAGAGUAUGUGGAGGUUUUAGUCUCUUUUAAAAAUCAUAUUUACAACUGGGGAAAAAUAAGAUUUUGGAUUGUCAAACAUUACAUGUUUUUCACACUUUUGAACUUUGUUUUGUUAUAAGAAUGUGUAUAAUUGUUACAUGUCCAACUAUAACCAUGUUUGCUUUUAUGGCUUCUGAGUUUCAUGUCAUUUUUGAAAAAAAAAAUAUAUUCUGAGCCCAUUAAGCCCCUCUCCUUUGUUAAUCCUAAUUCUUUUGUGUUUUUUAAUUCAAAUUCUAUGUCAUGAAAAGUAUUUUGUUUUAAAAUCUUAAAUAUGCAAGUUACUUGCCAUUACUUAUGAUUAUUUGCCAAUAAUUGCCCAUUUAUCUGUAAUGCCAUCUUGCACAUGUGCUGUAUUCAUCCGUGAAUGGCUCCAUUUUUGUUCUGUGGGUACGUGUGUCUCUUCUUCCGCCUCCUGUCUCAUGUGUCUUCUUGUUGGAAGAAAUUACAGUUUAGACUGCAAUUUCAUCAACCUUAAUAAAUUAAUUUGGGGAAACUGUUUUUAAAUAAUAUUGUCUUCAUAAUUAAGGACAAGGUAUGUCUCUUUUAUUAAACAUUUGAUUACUGUUUAUAUUUUCACCGUGAUGUUGGGUUUUUCUUUUCUUUUAUUUGCUUGUUCAUUUUUAUGUAUCUGAAACUUUUGUUUUGUUUUAUUUUGUUUUUUAGAUUUUGUUUUGUUUUGGGGAGGUUAAGUGGCCACGUUACUACUGAUUGUUUUCAGAAUGUACCCCAAAUUCUUUGCAAAUAUUGAUUUUCCUCCUCCCAAUUGAUAUUGAUUUUGGUUAUUUUGAUAAAAUUCCCCCGGACUGGUACUUUCAGAGCACUUAAAAAAUUUGUGGAAAUAUUACUCACACUUGAUUUAAAUGAUAUUUAACAAGUGCUUCUUAGGUUGAAUAGCACAUUGCUGCUGGUCUAUGCUUCCAAAAGACCACCUGAAAGAGCUAUGAUCAAGCAAAGUUGAGUUUAUUAAACUUACUGCAGCAAGGGAAAACACCACCUUAACAGGGUUUAAUAGUGGUUGAAAGACAAAAAAUGAAGGGCCUUUGGAUCUGGGUUUCUGUGGUUUAAAACACAGACAUGAUUAUGAAUGCAUAGUUCAGCAUGUGAUACUUUAAAAUGAAUGGGGGUGUGGUGAGAUUCUUAAUGUGCUUCUUGAUAAUCAAACUGUUAUCUAAGUGAGCUGUUUCUCUUAAUAGAUAUUUAUAAUGACAGAAGAGCUAUUGCCUAUGAAAGAAAUAGAAUUUAUCAAUUUAUAGUUCUGUCUUGCUAAGCAGGACUUACUAGGGUUGGUAUCAGGUCUUAUUCCCAAAAGGUAAGUUAUUUUUUUUUAAUGUGAAUGGUUUUAAGUGUCAAUGUAAGACUAUAGCUUUUAACUCUGAGAUAUUUGGUAUAUUCUUUUAGAAAAGUCUUCCUUCCACGUUUUAUAUUUUUCUAAAGAAUUUGAAUCAAACCUAGGUGGAAGAUGUAAUUGUUCCUUUUUACCCAAAUAAUUGUACUAUUCUUUUUUUGAAUUAUUAAUUGCUGUACAAUAUUUAUUUUUUAAUUUUUAGAAAUCCUUUUAUUCCACGAGUGAGCAUACUUUUGUUUUGCUUAAUUCUUUUUAUUUACUGCUGAGCUAUAGACACUUAAAUUUGAUUUGAAAUUUUUGAGUGUAUAUGAUUAUAUGAAAUCACUUUUCCAUUGACUUUUCUUUUCUACUUUGGUGUUAGCACUUCUGAUUAUGUCUAAACAAUGUAGAUAAUUUUCUUUAUGAUGCUCAAUGAGUUGGUACCAUGAUUACUUGAGCACAUCAGUGAAAUCAGCUGCUGUACAGUGGUGGUCCAUGUAAAUAAGACUGUAUAGUUUUGCUCCCAUCUUACUAGUUAUUGUUCAUUUCAUAUCUGGUGUCUUCUGUUUAACAUUUUUCUCAUAGAGGAUCACAGUGCACACAGACUUUCUAUCACACUAUUUAAACUGUGCCUUUUUAAAGGAGCAAGUUACAAAAUGGGUUUUAGAAUUGCCAGGUUUUUCCCUCUCUUCCACAAUCAAGAUUUUAGCAUAGUUUUUAAGUUUAUAAAAAGUCCAUAUGUGUGUAUGUGUGUGUGUGAGUGUGUGUGUGUGUUUUCCCUUUGCGCUUUGCCUCUUUUAGUAAGAAAUGCUUAAACACUUGUAAACUAUUCACUUCCAUUUGUUCUUAGUAAUUAAAAAUGUGCUUUCUUAUGUACUCUCUGAAAUUAUAACCAUGGAGCAGGAGAGGAAAGGAUGGUGAAGUUGUACAUACCAAGGCAAGAGCCCAUGUUACAACAUGAUUGAUCUUUGCUGGAUAUUCUUCAUGUUAUUUAAAAAAACAUUUUUUAAAUGAGAGGAUGAGUAGGUGGUUUAGUUGUUAAGGUCUUGAGUUCAAAUCCCAGAACCCAUGUUUAAAAAGCUGGAUGUGGUGAUACAUGCUUAUAAUCUCCUUGAUAGAAAUAAGAACCAGGCUGAUCCCUGGGGCUCACUAGGCAUCCAGCCCAUCUUAAUUAGUGGCCUCCAGACCAAUGAGAAACCCUGUCUCAAAGCAAACAAACAAACAAACAAAAAACUACAGACAUGCUAAAGCAGAUUGUGCUAAGCAAUAACAACCACAGUUGUUCUGGCCCUACACCUGGCACUCCCUCCCUCACCAUACACACAUAUGCCUGGGAACUCAAGCACACUCACCAAAUAUUUUUUUUUAAAUGAGUCAGGUAAAUCUUAGCAGUUUUUCCUCAGAGACAGCUUAAAAUGCAUAUAUUUAUUCAUUUCUUCCUUAAUUUUAGAGGAGAAAUACAUGCUUACCAUAGUUCACAUGUAUAGACCAGAGGAUAACUUGGAAUCAAUUCUCUCCUUCCACUAUCUAGGUUCCAGGGAUUGAGUGCAAGUCAUCAGGCUCUGCAACAAACACAUUUACCUGCUGAGUCAUCUCACUGGCCAUUUAAAAUGUUAUAAGCCUGAAGGGUUGCUUGUACUUCAGAGAAAUCAGGUAAGCCAUGACAUUGCUUCUGUUAAUGCCCAUUUUGUUUUCUCAGGUUCUUGAUAUCAUAUAUUCAGAGAUGUAGAUCAGUGACUAUAUAAGAAUGCUUUUAAUGAGGUCUCUAUUGUGAAGAGUACCAUCCCCUCUUUCAACAAGGCAUCAUUUUUCUUAUUUUUCCUUUAGAAAAGGUUCUGGAUUUAUGAGAUGGUAAUUGAGGAAUAACUGAGAGAAGGUAGUGUCAUUAAAUCAAACAUCUACUCAAGCUUUAAUCUUCCUAAAUAGAAAACAGUUCACUGGUGUACAGAAAACAGUUCUAAAUUUAGUAUUCAGCUCUAAUGUGAGGUUUUCAGUUUUGGAGCUUGCAUCAUCAAUGCUAAAGCCUCGUAAGAUCCCUAUCUCACUCAUAUCUAGCAUGCAAACAUUAAUACUCAAUUACCAAUAGGCUUCUGUAUCCCCAGUGAUGAAAACAAGGACCAUAACUGUACAACUUGAAGGCCCCAAGAACAUUGAUAUAAAUAAAUAGGCUUUGGGGGAAUCAGAGAUCCUUAGAAAUGAAUUUUCAAACUGGAUUAAUUGUGUUUUAACUCAUUUGUAAUUAGGAUACCACAUUAGAAGUGUUAUCUGUUUAUUUCUUAAGCAUGUUUUAAAGCAUUUUCCUUCUUUUUACAGAGAUAAUGCACAUACAUGUGUCUUGUUGCACUGGUCACAAGAGCAAAGGCAUGAUACCAGACUAGGCGCCCAUCCACAGACUAAGGCACAAAUGAAAUGGAAUGAAGAAAGGAAGGUUUAAGGCUUUUGAUAUGAAGCAUACAAUGAAUACACAUGCAAAGCAAAGAUCAUGCAAAAGAAACAGAAAGAAGUAUUUUGUCCCAGAUAAAUUGUGGUAUGCAAUAUUCUCAAUAAGAAAUUGUCAAGGAAUUAAAGGUUAUCAAGGAGGGCUGCUUAUACUUCUGGAAAGACAGAUAAGCAAUGAUGCUGUUACUGUUGAUCUUUCUGUGUUCUAGGAUUAGGCAUUUCAUAAAAUUAUUGUCUGUGAGAUCAUCAGCUAAAUAGUAUUUUUAUUAUGUCACUCUUUUGACUGUUUUACUUUAAUUCUUUCCUUAAAUAUCAAUUUCCCCAUUUCAUGACUCUAUUAUGGUAGGCCUCAAAUUUUGAAUACCUGAUGAAAGAUAAUGAAAUUUUAGCAAAAUAAUUAUCAAUGCCUGCAUCUUUGUUGAUUAUAAAUAAGUCCAGUGAGGUGUAGCAUGCAGUAAAAUGACUAUAGUAUCAAGUUCAAAUGGAAGACUUUCUUUUUAGCGUUUUAAUGUAGAGAUUUAAAUAUAAAA